RNAcentral lists this ribosomal RNA (501 nucleotides) under Cryptosporidium scrofarum. RNAcentral's name for it is "SSU rRNA". It matches the Rfam family "Eukaryotic small subunit ribosomal RNA", at positions 550 to 1092 of the family's 1831-position model. The record is from RNAcentral. Lineage: Eukaryota; Apicomplexa; Conoidasida; Eucoccidiorida; Cryptosporidiidae.
GGAGGGCAAGUCUGGUGCCAGCAGCCGCGGUAAUUCCAGCUCCAAUAGCGUAUAUUAAAGUUGUUGCAGUUAAAAAGCUCGUAGUUGAUUUUCUGUUAAUUUUUAUGUAUAAUAUUGCGAUAUUUACAUAAUAUUAACAUAAUUCACAUUACUUUACAGUAUGUGGAAUUUUACUUUGAGAAAAUUAGAGUGCUUAAAGCAGGCUAUUGCCUUGAAUACUCCAGCAUGGAAUAAUAUUAAGGAUUUUUAUUCUUCUUAUUGGUUCUAGAAUAAAAAUAAUGAUUAAUAGGAACAGUUGGGGGCAUUUGUAUUUAACAGUUAGAGGUGAAAUUCUUAGAUUUGUUAAAGACAAACUACUGCGAAAGCAUUUGCCAAGGAUGUUUUCAUUAAUCAAGAACGAAAGUUAGGGGAUCGAAGACGAUCAGAUACCGUCGUAGUCUUAACCAUAAACUAUGCCAACUAGAGAUUGGAGGUUGUUCCUUACUCCUUCAGCACCUUAAU